RNAcentral lists this long non-coding RNA (400 nucleotides) under Rattus norvegicus (Norway rat). RNAcentral's name for it is "long non-coding RNA NONRATT006870". The record is from RNAcentral. Lineage: Eukaryota; Metazoa; Chordata; Mammalia; Rodentia; Muridae.
CCUGACGUAGCCGUGACCCGCGCUCCGCCGGGGCAGGCCGCUCCGCCGCGCAUCUCGUCUGGAGCCUGGGGAGGUCCCCAAAGCCACCGGUUCCCCAGGGAAGAGGUGUCUCAUUUGGAAGCACGCCUGACGGCCAGUGUCCGAGCCACACAGAGGCCGAGAUUUUCCUUCCUCAUACAGUUAACUACGUUGUUUUCCUUGGGACGCCUACACCAUCUAUUCUGAAGCGCUGUUGAAUGAGAAACCCACGCGUACGGAGUUCAGAUGGCAGGCUUCCUGGAUAACUUCCGAUGGCCGGAGUGCGAGUGUAUUGACUGGAGUGAGCGCAGGAACACGGUAGCCUCCGUGGUUGCAGGAAUCUUGUUCUUUACAGGCUGGUGGAUAAUGAUCGAUGCGGCCG